AGCAGCCGCGGUAAUUCCAGCUCCAAUAGCGUAUAUUAAAGUUGUUGCAGUUAAAAGCUCGUAGUUGAAUUUCGGGAUUGACACAUCGGUCGUGCCUUAAGGGGUAUGAACUGGUGUAGUCAAUUUCUCACCUCCUGGAGAACCGCGAUGCCCUUAAUUGGGUGUCGCGGGGAACCAGGACCUUUACUUUGAAAAAAUUAGAGUGUUUAAAGCAGGCAUUUGCUUGAAUACAUUAGCAUGGAAUAAUAAAAUAGGACGGCAUGAUUCUAUUUUGUUGGUUUCUAGGAUCACCGUAAUGAUUAAUAGGGAUAGUUGGGGGCAUUAGUAUUCAAUUGUCAGAGGUGAAAUUCUUGGAUUUAUUGAAGACUAACUACUGCGAAAGCAUUUGCCAAGGAUGUUUUCAUUAAUCAAGAACGAAAGUUUAGGGGAUCGAAGACGAUCAGGAUACCGUCGUAGUCUUAACCAUAAACUAUGCCGACUAGGAAUCAGACGAUGUUAAUUUUUUAAUGACUCGUUUGGC
Molecule: ribosomal RNA, 520 nt
Filed under: uncultured Entrophospora
Lineage: Eukaryota; Fungi; Glomeromycota; Glomeromycetes; Entrophosporales; Entrophosporaceae
Description: SSU rRNA
Rfam family: Eukaryotic small subunit ribosomal RNA
Source: RNAcentral